This 519-nucleotide ribosomal RNA is filed under the name Afidentula manderstjernae. Its description in RNAcentral is "partial 16S ribosomal RNA". It matches the Rfam family "Archaeal large subunit ribosomal RNA", at positions 1921 to 2681 of the family's 2987-position model. The record is from RNAcentral. Lineage: Eukaryota; Metazoa; Arthropoda; Insecta; Coleoptera; Coccinellidae.
CUCUUUUUGAAUUUAAUUUAAAGUUGGGCCUGCCCACUGAAUUUUGAAGGGCCGCAGUAUUUUGACUGUGCAAAGGUAGCAUAAUCAUUAGUUUUUUAAUUGAAAGCUUGUAUGAAUGGUUUGAUGAGAAAAUUUCUGUUUCAGUUUUAAUUUAUAGAAUUUUAUUUUUAAGUAAAAAAGCUUAAAUUUUAUUUAAAGACGAGAAGACCCUAUAGAGUUUAACUAAAUUUAAUAAUUAGAUAUUUAGAAUUAUAGAAUCUAUAUUUUUAAAUAAGUUUUGUUGGGGUGACAAAAAAAUUAAAUAAACUUUUUUUUAAUUAAAACAAUAAUAAUUGAAAAUUUGAUCCAUAUAAAUGAUUAUAAGAUUAAAUUACCUUAGGGAUAACAGCGUAAUCUUUUUUGAGAGUUCUUAUUAAAAAAAGGGGUUGCGACCUCGAUGUUGGAUUAAAAUUAAUUUUUGGUGUAGAAGCUAGAAAAUUAGGUCUGUUCGACCUUUGAAAUUUUACAUGAUCUGAGUUU